Haliotis rubra (blacklip abalone) is the source of this 371-nucleotide long non-coding RNA. RefSeq lists it as uncharacterized. The record is from RefSeq and is a predicted model, not a curated record. Lineage: Eukaryota; Metazoa; Mollusca; Gastropoda; Lepetellida; Haliotidae. The transcript has 4 exons.
GUUCCCAGCAUGCUGGAGGUGGAUGGUUCAUAUAUAUGAUGUUCUGAGUGCAAGCCUGUGCUUUUGUUGGUACAGUGGGGAACACUAUCUCAGGUUACAAGAGGGCGGGAGAAACGGAAUGAACUGUACAUACGGCGUCUUCUCACGCCAGUAGAGUCUCUCUCAGAGCGCCUUGUACAGAUCCAACUGGUGGAUGAGGAAGUCGUGAGUGUCCUUGUCAUACACAGCAGACUCUUCCUGGAGACAGAACAGAGCAUUGGUAACCCAACAAACUCGUCGAUCUGCGAAUGCGUGAUCCUGUCAACGAUCUUCCUCUUGUCUCUGAUCAGCUCCACAAUCAUCUGAGCCACAUUCAGGCCGAUCCCACCCUG